Molecule: unclassified non-coding RNA, 18 nt
Filed under: Mus musculus (house mouse)
Lineage: Eukaryota; Metazoa; Chordata; Mammalia; Rodentia; Muridae
Description: oocyte_clustered_small_RNA8850
Source: RNAcentral
AAAUGAGAGCACAGACGU